This 301-nucleotide ribosomal RNA is filed under the name uncultured bacterium. RNAcentral's name for it is "partial 16S ribosomal RNA". It matches the Rfam family "Bacterial small subunit ribosomal RNA", at positions 509 to 809 of the family's 1533-position model. The record is from RNAcentral.
CAGCCGCCGCGGUAAUACGAAGGGGGCUAGCGUUGUUCGGAAUAACUGGGCGUAAAGGGCGCGUAGGCGGAUCUUUAAGUCAGGGGUGAAAUCCCAAGGCUCAACCUUGGAACUGCCUUUGAUACUGGAGAUCUUGAGUCCGGGAGAGGUGAGUGGAACUGCGAGUGUAGAGGUGAAAUUCGUAGAUAUUCGCAAGAACACCAGUGGCGAAGGCGGCUCACUGGCCCGGUACUGACGCUGAGGCGCGAAAGCGUGGGGAGCAAACAGGAUUAGAUACCCCUGUAGUCCCUGUCUCUUAUAA